RNAcentral lists this ribosomal RNA (1417 nucleotides) under marine metagenome. RNAcentral describes it as "bacterial LSU rRNA". It matches the Rfam family "Bacterial large subunit ribosomal RNA", at positions 1391 to 2695 of the family's 2925-position model. The record is from RNAcentral.
CUAAGGCGAGGCCGACAGGCGUAGUCGAUGGACAACGGGUUGAUAUUCCCGUACCGGCGAAGAACCGCAAGAGCUAAUCCCGUAAUGCUAAGAGCCCGAAUCCUUUUCCUGAUCCCUUCGGGGUGAUGGUUGAGGGCUAGCGCUCGACCCUACGCGGGUGCGGCUAGCGUAUUAACAGGUGUGACGCAGGAAGGUAGCUGAUCCGGGCGAUGGUUGUCCCGGUGUAAGGGUGUAGGGCGAGAGAUAGGCAAAUCCGUCUCUCAUAUCGCUUGAGACCCGACGCGUAGCCCCAUGGGCGAAAUCAGUGAUCCUAUGCUGCCAAGAAAAGCAUCGACGCGAGGUUCUAGCUGCCCGUACCCCAAACCGACUCAGGUGGUCAGGUAGAGAAUACUAAGGAGAUCGAGAGAAUCGUGGUUAAGGAACUCGGCAAAAUGCCCCCGUAACUUAGGGAGAAGGGGGGCCGGAUCCGUGACGUAAUUUACUUAUUGAGCGGUGAAGGCCGCAGAGACCAGUGGGAAGCGACUGUUUACUAAAAACACAGGUCCGUGCGAAGUUGCAAGACGAUGUAUACGGACUGACGCCUGCCCGGUGCUGGAAGGUUAAGGAGAUCGGUUAGCUUCGGCGAAGCUGAGAACUUAAGCCCCAGUAAACGGCGGUGGUAACUAUAACCAUCCUAAGGUAGCGAAAUUCCUUGUCGGGUAAGUUCCGACCUGCACGAAUGGCGUAACGACUUCCCAACUGUCUCAACCGCGAACUCGGCGAAAUUGCACUACGAGUAAAGAUGCUCGUUACGCGCAGCAGGACGGAAAGACCCCGUGACCUUUACUACAGCUUGGUAUUGGUGUUCGGUGUGGCUUGUGUAGGAUAGGUGGGAGACUUUGAAGCGGACACGCCAGUGUUCGUGGAGUCAUUGUUGAAAUACCACUCUGGUCACUCUGGACAUCUAACUUCGAACCGUGAUCCGGUUCAGGGACAGUGCCUGGUGGGUAGUUUAACUGGGGCGGUUGCCUCCCAAAAAGUAACGGAGGCGCCCAAAGGUUCCCUCAGCCUGGUUGGCAAUCAGGUGGCGAGUGUAAGUGCACAAGGGAGCUUGACUGUGAGACUGACAGGUCGAGCAGGGACGAAAGUCGGGACUAGUGAUCCGGCAGUGGCUUGUGGAAGCGCUGUCGCUCAACGGAUAAAAGGUACCUCGGGGAUAACAGGCUGAUCUUGCCCAAGAGUCCAUAUCGACGGCAUGGUUUGGCACCUCGAUGUCGGCUCGUCGCAUCCUGGGGCUGGAGUAGGUCCCAAGGGUUGGGCUGUUCGCCCAUUAAAGCGGCACGCGAGCUGGGUUUAGAACGUCGUGAGACAGUUCGGUCCCUAUCCGCUGCGUGCGUAGGAAGUUUGAGAGGAUCUGACCCUAGUACGAGAGGACCGG